UACACUACGAAAUGAUUCAUGUGGUUAGUUUGUAAAAAUUAAAAUAAACCACAUUUUCAGCAUAAAAAUGUUAAGUUUGUAAUAUGUACUUGUAUUGGUGAGUUGAUAACUCAUUUUAAUGAGUCUUUCAAAAUUAAAAUAAAAAACUGUCAACUUAAUUAUAUAUCGAUUUUGAGUAAACACUUUUACCUUCACAUACUGUAACAACAGAAAAAUAUUAAGUUAGUGAAACUUGUAUAUCUAGUGAGCAUCCUUUAAAAGCUGAGUAAAGGCUGAAUUUGCCCGAACUUGUUUUGCUGCCAGAGCGGGACAACUAGGAGCCGGAGAAACAGGAGAAUAUUUUUGCUUUGUUUUAAUAUCAGCAGCUACCAACUGUAUCUGUCUAAAUGUAUCUAAAUCGAUGUUGUCACACACUAAACUGAAAAAAAACGUUUGACCUAAGCUAAUUCAUCGAUUCUAAAGUUAAUAGGCUUUUAGCUAGCUAGUGUGUUCAAAAUAGACUUUAUGUUUUGUUUUACAGUGGCUGAAUGAUGUUAAUUCACAUGGAAUGGAAGUCCUGCAUGACCUGGAUGUAUCCAGAGCCUGUGCCCUGCUAAUGGGGCUGAUAUAUGCACUCAACCUCAGCUACCCAAAGGAACUAAAAAAUACUUUUGAGAUGUUUCAGAAAAUAAUUCUUGAGCUGGAUGGUCUGAAAGCUAGCUCGAAGAUGGUGUGUUUGUAGGCGAAACUCGUGUGAUUUACAAGAGAUGUAUGAGAACGAAGAUGGAUCUGUGCCAGCCACGUUUGACAUCCUGUUUAUGAUUGGCUGGAAGCCUCAUGAGUCACAGGCAAAACCCAGCGAAUAGAGGUUCGGCAACCAGGUCCUUUGGAGAUUUGUCAAAAAUCAGCCGAACUCCGACAGCCAACAAAACAGACAAAUCCAGCACUAGCGUUAGCUGACUCAAACCAGCUCAUCAACAUGAAUAUAGAAAGAGUGUUGCUUAAUAAUGAUAUGUACAUAAAAACUAUUGUACUGUAUGUAAAAUGGAGAAUGAAUGACCAGUCAUAUAGGAUUUUUUUUUAUUUAAUGUUUUGAACAGAUCAGAAUUUCCUCAAUGCUAAAAUAAAAUGUUUUGCUAAA
Tachysurus vachellii is the source of this 1120-nucleotide long non-coding RNA. RefSeq lists it as uncharacterized. The record is from RefSeq and is a predicted model, not a curated record. NCBI's taxonomy places the organism in Eukaryota, Metazoa, Chordata, Actinopteri, Siluriformes, Bagridae. The transcript is spliced from 4 exons.